GAGGGUAUAGCUCAGUGGUAGAGUGCCUGCUUAGCAUGCACAAAGCCCUGGGUUCAAUCCCCAGUACCUCCA
This 72-nucleotide transfer RNA is filed under the name Camelus bactrianus (Bactrian camel). It matches the Rfam family "tRNA". From Rfam's summary of the family: Transfer RNA (tRNA) molecules are approximately 80 nucleotides in length. Their secondary structure includes four short double-helical elements and three loops (D, anti-codon, and T loops). The record is from Rfam by way of RNAcentral. RNAcentral also lists the same sequence under 2 other names. Lineage: Eukaryota; Metazoa; Chordata; Mammalia; Artiodactyla; Camelidae.